RNAcentral lists this ribosomal RNA (1366 nucleotides) under metagenome. Its description in RNAcentral is "bacterial LSU rRNA". It matches the Rfam family "Bacterial large subunit ribosomal RNA", at positions 1538 to 2925 of the family's 2925-position model. The record is from RNAcentral.
AAAAUCCCCCGCAUAAGUCAAAGGUGUGAUGCGGACCGAAAAAGAGUAGGGAAGCUGUUAAGCAAGCCGUCAAGAAAAGCUGCUAUUGUUUCAUUAUGGCCCGUACCGUAAACCGACACAGGUGGAUGGGGAGAGAAUCCUAAGGCCGGCGGAAGAAGUAUUGUUAAGGAACUCGGCAAAAUGACCCCGUAACUUCGGGAGAAGGGGUGCCUGCGAGAGCAGGCCGCAGAGAAGAGGCCCAAGCAACUGUUUAGCAAAAACACAGGUCUAUGCAAAACCGAAAGGUGAGGUAUAUGGGCUGACGCCUGCCCGGUGCUGGAAGGUUAAGGGGAGUGGUCAGGAAACGAGGCCACGAACUUAAGCCCCAGUAAACGGCGGCCGUAACCAUAACGGUCCUAAGGUAGCGAAAUUCCUUGUCGGGUAAGUUCCGACCCGCACGAAAGGCGUAAUGAUUUGGGCGCUGUCUCGACAAUACAUCCGGUGAAAUUGAAGUGCCAGUGAAGAUGCUGGCUACCUGCGCCAGGACGGAAAGACCCCAUGGAGCUUUACUCCAGCUUGAUACUGGGACCCGGUAUUGCAUGUACAGGAUAGGUGGGAGGCUAGGAAAUGUGGACGCCGGUCUGCAUGGAGCCGCUGUUGGGAUACCACCCUUGUGGUGCUGGGUUUCUAACCAGAGGCCGUGAACCGGUCUGGGGACAAUGUCAGGUGGGGAGUUUGACUGGGGCGGUCGCCUCCGAAAGGGUAUCGGAGGCGCCCAAAGGUUCCCUCAGAAUGGUUGGAAACCAUUCGAAGAGUGCAAAGGCAGAAGGGAGCUUGACUGCGACACCGACGGGUGGAGCAGGUACGAAAGUAGGGCUUAGUGAUCCGGUGGAAUUUAAGUGGGAAUGCCAUCGCUCAACGGAUAAAAGCUACCCUUGGGAUAACAGGCUGAUCACUCCCAAGAGUUCACAUCGACGGAGUGGUUUGGCACCUCGAUGUCGGCUCAUCGCAUCCUGGGGCUGAAGUCGGUCCCAAGGGUUGGGCUGUUCGCCCAUUAAAGCGGUACGCGAGCUGGGUUCAGAACGUCGUGAGACAGUUCGGUCCCUAUCCGGCGUGGGCGUAGGAUAUCUGAGAGGAGCUGUCCUUAGUACGAGAGGACCGGGAUGGACUGACCUCUGGUGUACCGGUUGGCGAUCAACGCCACGGCCGGGUAGCCAUGUCGGGACGGGAUAAACGCUGAAGGCAUCUAAGCGUGAAGCCCCCCUCAAGAUGAGAUAUCCCAUCGUAAGAGUAAGACCCCUUGAAGACGACGAGGUUGAUAGGGCAGGGGUGGAAGUGCUGUAAGGCAUGGAGCUGACUGCUACUAAUCGGUCGAGGGCUUGAUCAA